RNAcentral lists this ribosomal RNA (332 nucleotides) under uncultured Leclercia sp. RNAcentral describes it as "bacterial SSU rRNA". It matches the Rfam family "Bacterial small subunit ribosomal RNA", at positions 505 to 841 of the family's 1533-position model. The record is from RNAcentral. Lineage: Bacteria; Pseudomonadati; Pseudomonadota; Gammaproteobacteria; Enterobacterales; Enterobacteriaceae.
GUGCCAGCAGCCGCGGUAAUACGGAGGGUGCAAGCGUUAAUCGGAAUUACUGGGCGUAAAGCGCACGCAGGCGGUCUGACAAGUCGGAUGUGAAAUCCCCGGGCUCAACCCGGGAACUGCAUUCGAAACUGUCAGGCUGGAGUCUUGUAGAGGGGGUAGAAUUCCAGGUGUAGCGGUGAAAUGCGUAGAGAUCUGGAGGAAUACCGGUGGCGAAGGCGGCCCCCUGGACAAAGACUGACGCUCAGGUGCGAAAGCGUGGGAGCAAACAGGAUUAGAUACCCCUGGUAGUCCCACGCUGUAAACGAUGUCGUACGUUGGGAGUUGUCGUCCCG